UGCUUUGGCAGCACGUAACUAAAAGUGGAGCGCUACAGGGAAGAUUAGCAUGGCCCCCAGGCAAGGAUGACGGGUGCAGUCGUGAAGGAUUUCCUAUUACU
RNAcentral lists this small nuclear RNA (101 nucleotides) under Suricata suricatta (meerkat). The record is from RNAcentral. Lineage: Eukaryota; Metazoa; Chordata; Mammalia; Carnivora; Herpestidae.